UCUCUCAGGUCAGUUCUUGGCCACUAUCAGACACCACCUUCCUCCCAGAAUUCCUAACUUCACUUGGAAGGAUCCGGCCUUUAUAGUUUAAUUGACCUAGUUAGGUGGAACCUUGCCACCUUUCCCUCUUCUUGCCUUUAAAAAUGUCGAAGAUCUUGGAUUGAUCUUGUGCAAUGUCCCUGUCUUCUUUCGAUGAUUUGAG
This 202-nucleotide long non-coding RNA is filed under the name Phoenix dactylifera (date palm). Its description in RNAcentral is "long non-coding RNA (PDAC_LNC013734)". The record is from RNAcentral. Lineage: Eukaryota; Viridiplantae; Streptophyta; Magnoliopsida; Arecales; Arecaceae.